Long non-coding RNA from Sorghum bicolor (sorghum), 850 nucleotides. RefSeq lists it as uncharacterized. The transcript is spliced from 2 exons. Lineage: Eukaryota; Viridiplantae; Streptophyta; Magnoliopsida; Poales; Poaceae. The record is from RefSeq and is a predicted model, not a curated record.
UGCAUCUUGGGCUGGCCGCACGCCCGCACCCACGACCCCUUCUCCUACAGUGCUCGGUCGCCUCCCUCUCGCAACAGAAUCGGCCGCCCGGCCAGCUACCUUGCGUCGCCUCCUUUGCCACCCACGCCGUCUGCUGCCGUGCCGACUCUCUCAUGGGUCAUGGGCUCAUGGCAAUGGCGCACUCGACAGAAAUAGAAUAGGCCUACCAUCUCAGAGCCAAAUCUGAGGCGCCACUGGACCACCGCACCGCGUUGUCUUUCUCCUCGCGCUCACGACGCCUUCUGGAAGCUUCGGGAGGCCGCGCUCUGCUCCGGCGGGCGGGCGGGAUGGGGGUGUUUGACCAGCUGCCCCCGAUGGACCACAUGGUGUCCGAGAAGAUGUGCUUCGUGCACCUCAUCAUGCCCGCUAAGAGCUCGCGCCUCGCCGUCACCUACCUCGGCGAGCUCGGCCUACUCUAGUUCAAGGACCUCAGCAUAUGGCCAUGGCGGCACUGCUGCACAGAGUCGAUGAUCCGGGCUUCCCCUGAUGAUGAGCUGAGCUGGGCCACCAAUGGCGAGUUUGGAUGUGCACCGGGAAGGAAAUUAGCUGAUUGCCAGCUCAGCUCUCUUCUCUUCUGAUGGGCCAGACCAUACGAGUUUAUGGUCUGGGCUGUUAGUGGAUCGUGGAUGGAACAGCCCAUUGGGCCGCCUCCAACGCCGACCUCCACCGCUCCUCGAUCUGACUACGUAUAUUUUGCGAUAGAGAUAUCAGAUAAUAGGUUUUCAAUUGUAUUUGAGACCGAAUUCGGGUUCAGAUAUGUCUGUAUAAAGUCUGAAUAUUCAAUAUUCGAUAAUGUAUUCAUAUCCAAAUA